UUACAAAAACAUAGUUUAAGGAAAUAAUCUUAAAUGAAUUCUGCCCAGUGAUUUUUUUUUAAAUGGCCGCAGUACCUUGACUGUGCUAAGGUAGCAUAAUCAAUUGGCUUCUAAUUAAAGUCUGGAAUGAAAGGAAAUAUGAAGUAAUUCUAUCUUAAAGGAUUUUUUUUGAAUUUAUUUAAAUGAUGAAAAUAUCAUUUUAUAGAAAAAAGACGAGAAGACCCUUAGAGUUUUGAUAUUUAUAUAUUUUUGUUGGGGCGACAGGUAAACAUAUAACUUUACGAAUUAUCAUUGAUCGAUUUUUUAUAAGAAUAAUAAAACUACCUUAGGGAUAACAGCAUUAUAUUUUUUUUUAUGAUUGUGACCUCGAUGUUGGACUAGGAACUUUAUGGCUAGCCGUCAAAAAAGAUUGUCUUUCGUUUAAAAUCCGG
Molecule: ribosomal RNA, 431 nt
Filed under: Biomphalaria straminea
Lineage: Eukaryota; Metazoa; Mollusca; Gastropoda; Planorbidae
Description: partial 16S ribosomal RNA
Rfam family: Archaeal large subunit ribosomal RNA
Source: RNAcentral